Molecule: long non-coding RNA, 218 nt
Filed under: Gossypium barbadense (sea-island cotton)
Lineage: Eukaryota; Viridiplantae; Streptophyta; Magnoliopsida; Malvales; Malvaceae
Description: long non-coding RNA (GBAR_LNC001326)
Source: RNAcentral
GCCAUGAUAUGUCUUAAACUCAAAUGGUAAGUUCAUAAGUGUUUGGACUUGGAAAUUUAAGAGCAAAUUGUAAUAAUUUGCUUGGACAGCAGCAGUAAUGUGAUUUUAGAAAAUCACUAUAAAUUGUUGGUGUGGAAUUAUAGGCUGAAUAAAAUAUGUAAUCAAAGCUUAGUUGGUCUAGUUUCUUAUAAAAGAGACCGUGGAAGCAAAGAAAUUUC